This 492-nucleotide ribosomal RNA is filed under the name uncultured bacterium. RNAcentral's name for it is "partial 16S ribosomal RNA". The stretch from base 54 to 492 matches the Rfam family "Bacterial small subunit ribosomal RNA", at positions 27 to 507 of the family's 1533-position model. The record is from RNAcentral.
GGGGGGGGGGGGGGGGGGGGGGGGGGGGGGGGGGGCGGGCGGCGGCGGGGGGGGGGCGGGCGCGGGCGGGGGGCGAGUGGCGGGCGGGUGGGGAAGCCGUCGGACUCUACUGUUGCGGGGGGGAUAACGUAGGGACCCUUACGCUAAUACCGCAUACGACCUACGGGUGAACGCCGGGCAUCUUCGGACCUUGCCCGAUUGCAUGAGCCGAUGUCGGCUUAGCUAGUUGGCGGGGUAAAGGCCCACCAAGGCGACGAUCCGUAGCUGGUCUGAGAGGAUGAUCAGCCACACUGGAACUGAGACACGGUCCAGACUCCUACGGGAGGCAGCAGUGGGGAAUAUUGGACAAUGGGCGCAAGCCUGAUCCAGCCAUACCGCGUGGGUGAAGAAGGCCUUCGGGUUGUAAAGCCCUUUUGUUGGGAAAGAAAAGCAGCAGGUUAAUACCCCGCUGUUCUGACGGUACCCAAAGAAUAAGCACCGGCUAACUUCGUG